AAUUUUAUAAUUAAUUUUGGUUCCAGUGAUAACAUUGUGAUAUUGUUUGGCAAAACUAAUGUCUAGUAUAAAUUGACUUGAAUUAAAAAUUAUUUAUUUUUUGAUACAUUAGUCUUUUUAGGUUCGAUCUGUGUCUGUAAAUACACCUUCAGACAGUUAACAUACUUGUCAAUGGUAGAAUAAAGUUUUCUAAUUCUGAUUGUAAUCAUGAUUCUAAUGAUACUUGCAGGACUAUUAUUACUACUGCUGCUACUGCUAACAACAGAAACAUAAAUGUCUCUGUAUGUGAAUACUCUUUAGGCCUCCAACUCAGAAUCAUCCGACCUUCAACAAGGAUGUCAUUUUAUUACCUCAUCCAGCAUGGGAUGAAGUUUGCAGGCACCAAACCAGGAGAAGGCUUCAUGAAAGUGGUCAUAUCUUAAGUGCUUUUGAAAUGAGGAAAAUAUGGGACUGCACGCCUGUCAUUGCAGAGAUAAGAGAUGCAUUCAAGGACAGGCUUCCUGAAGAUGUCAGCACUGAACUCUUAAUGCCAUGUGGAAACAAACUGCUGCGCGUGACAGCAGGAACUGAAUGGCUUUAUGAUUCAUAAAGUUUUUAAAUAAAAAAAUCAAGCGUUCUUCCAGUUCCGUUUAAAAACACUGAUCCAGAGGAUAUCUGUAUGGAAGUUGAUGCUACAGCUUCCAGUGACCACAGAACAACUGCUAGUCAAAUCAGCAACUAUAUGAUUACAAGGGCCAGAGGAAACCAAACUGCAGCAGCACAGCAUGUUUCUAGUUCUCCUUUAACCAGAAGAGCCAAAGAAAACCAAUCCACUGCAUCACAGCAAGAGUGCAGUGACAACAUGGCCAGAGGAAACCAGUUUGGGGACAGCGUAACCAGAGGGAACCAACCCACUGACGACAUGACUAUACAGUGUCAGAAUGUGCAUCUGUGGUUGACCUGUUGCAAACCACAGAACCACUGCAGGAUUACCUGGCAAAUGCUGGGUGUCUCGGCCCGUUUAAAUGCAUUGAAGAGAGAGGCCUGUUGGUUUAAGACAUUAUUUCAC
Betta splendens (Siamese fighting fish) is the source of this 1048-nucleotide long non-coding RNA. RefSeq lists it as uncharacterized. The record is from RefSeq and is a predicted model, not a curated record. The transcript has 4 exons. Lineage: Eukaryota; Metazoa; Chordata; Actinopteri; Anabantiformes; Osphronemidae.